Molecule: ribosomal RNA, 509 nt
Filed under: uncultured bacterium
Lineage: Bacteria
Description: bacterial SSU rRNA
Rfam family: Bacterial small subunit ribosomal RNA
Source: RNAcentral
GAUUAUGGCUCAGGAUGAACGCUAGCGACAGGCUAACACAUGCAAGUCGAGGGGCAGCACGGGAGUAGCAAUACGUUGGUGGCGACCGGCGCACGGGUGAGUAACGCGUAUGCAACCUACCUAUCAGAGGGGAAUAACCCGGCGAAAGUCGGACUAAUACCGCAUAAAACAGGGGCACCGCAUGGUGAUAUUUGUUAAAGAAAUUCGCUGAUAGAUGGGCAUGCGUUCCAUUAGGUAGUUGGUGAGGUAACGGCUCACCAAGCCGACGAUGGAUAGGGAACUGAGAGGUUGGUCCCCCACACUGGUACUGAGACACGGACCAGACUCCUACGGGAGGCAGCAGUGAGGAAUAUUGGUCAAUGGGCGGGAGCCUGAACCAGCCAAGUCGCGUGAAGGAAGAAGGAUCUAUGGUUCGUAAACUUCUUUUGCAGGGGAAUAAAGUGCAGGACGUGUCCUGUUUUGUAUGUACCCUGAGAAUAAGGAUCGGCUAACUCCGUGCCAGCCGCCGC